AUGGGUGCCCCGUCCACAUCCGGGCUUCAGGCUACGCGUGGUGGACCGACUGUGAUGAGGGAGGACGUCGAGGGCAUGUUGUUGGACCAGCGGCAUGUUGUUGGACCAGCGCAUCCUCAUCGAGAUGAGGUUGCGGACCGUGAAGCUUGAAAUCAUUUAAUACGUGACCGAGGAGUUUGCCAGACUGAGAGACUUCAUAUCUAGCUUGGUGCCCCCGUCCGGUGGUACUUCCACUUCAGCUGCAGCUCCUGUCGUGAAUGAGCCAAACAUUUGGGAUGGCCCCCACGAAGGUAUAAGUUUGUUCUACUGUAACUUCCACUUACAACAUGUUUGUAGAGCCGUGCAAUUUUUCCUAUGCGUUCGCUUUCAAAUGUAUUUUUUUAAUUGCCAAAUUACUUAGAUGUAGAUGAAGGAGACAUGGACCUGUGCCCGAAUGACGGUGGCCGUCCUUCGCCUACCGGGAACUUGGAGGUGAAUGAUAUUUCAGUUAGUUAUGUGUAACACAUAUUUGUAUUUGAUGUCAUCUCAUCUCGUGAUAUGCAACUAUAUUCAAUUUAAGUCCUUCGUAAUUUUUUU
This 576-nucleotide long non-coding RNA is filed under the name Olea europaea (common olive). RNAcentral's name for it is "long non-coding RNA (OEUR_LNC002651)". Lineage: Eukaryota; Viridiplantae; Streptophyta; Magnoliopsida; Lamiales; Oleaceae. The record is from RNAcentral.